RNAcentral lists this transfer RNA (88 nucleotides) under Treponema denticola. RNAcentral describes it as "tRNA-Ser". It matches the Rfam family "tRNA". From Rfam's summary of the family: Transfer RNA (tRNA) molecules are approximately 80 nucleotides in length. Their secondary structure includes four short double-helical elements and three loops (D, anti-codon, and T loops). Further hydrogen bonds mediate the characteristic L-shaped molecular structure. tRNAs have two regions of fundamental functional importance: the anti-codon, which is responsible for specific mRNA codon recognition, and the 3' end, to which the tRNAs corresponding amino acid is attached (by aminoacyl-tRNA synthetases). tRNAs cope with the degeneracy of the genetic code in two manners: having more than one tRNA (with a specific anti-codon) for a particular amino acid; and 'wobble' base-pairing, i.e. permitting non-standard base-pairing at the 3rd anti-codon position. Lineage: Bacteria; Pseudomonadati; Spirochaetota; Spirochaetia; Treponematales; Treponemataceae. RNAcentral also lists the same sequence under 2 other names. The record is from RNAcentral.
GGAGCGAUGGCCGAGCGGUUGAAGGCGGCGGUCUUGAAAACCGUUGUGCUGAGAGGUACCGGGGGUUCGAAUCCCUCUCGCUCCGCUA